GACUUGAGAAGGUUAACAUCAGGAAAAUACACAGCCAAGCCAAGAUUCUAGGGACAGUUGUGACAGUUGGUGGAGCAAUGCUUAUGACUGUUGUGAAAGGACCUUUGAUUCCUUUGCCUUGGGCUCAUCCUAGCGACAACCAUCAAGACUCAUCAAAUCUUGGUGUCAAACAAGAUCUUACCAAAGGCGCACUUCUCAUUGCUACCGGUUGCAUCUGUUGGGCCGGUUUUGUCAAUCUCCAGGUAACUUUAAAGACCAAGAUUCUACAUAUUAGAAACCGGUUAUAUUGAACCACUAAAUUAAUGAUUUGGUUAUGUGCAGGCGAUCACGCUUAAAUCGUACCCGGUGGAGCUAUCCUUGACAGCUUUAAUAUGCUUAAUAUACGUUCGAGUUCAAGUACGACUGAAGAUUUUCGUCUGUAAUGUUGCUAUUGUAUUCAUUAUGGGAGCUCAUGACCCACCUCUUCUUGGCACCAUUGACAUAUUUCAGCAACUUCCUAAACCAGUUAACAUAAAACCAACAAUAUUUGCCUUGAUGAUUGAGUUUUAGAAUCCAAGCGUUUUCUCAAACCAGUCAACACAAAACUAACAAUUUCUUCAUUGAUGAGAGAGUUUAAGAACCCAAUCGCACGCUCAUCCAUAUCAAACACCAUGUCAUCUGCAACUAAGGUAUUACAUGUAAACAUCAUAAUCAUACACAAUCUACUCUGAAGGCCAACUCGAAGAAGUUCAUUCAAAUAUGGCAUUAAAUUAAGAUGGGCACAAUGAGUAGCUAGAAAGAACCAUUUUAUCAAUUGGCCUAAGAGUGCCGUAUUAUACAUAAUACAACUAGCCGCAUGUACCCAAAGAAAGAAGGUCAACUGUCCUAAGAGUAUCAAAUAAUCUGGAAAUACCAUUAGCCAAAGAAACAAUAUAAGAGAAAUUCCAAAAGCCUAAGUUCAGAUACCAUGAUCAAUAAAUGUCCUUUUUAUACCUUUCCAGUAGCUAAUCACUCCAGCUUCAUCAUAAACCUCUUGAAUAUGUAUCACAUAAAUUGUCUUAAUCUUGUCUUGAGAAGUUUAUAGACAGAGCCACCAGCCCUUUGGACAAAGCCAAAAGAAGCAUGGGAAUAAUAUUUCUUUAGUAUAGUGGUAUAAGCUUGAGUUAUUGCAUGUCAAUCUGGGUUGGAAACUACAGUAAUGCAUAUUUUCUUUUAUUUUAUUUUAAAACCAGUGGCGCUUAUUUUGUUUCGCCUCUAGUCUUAUAAAACCUAGGACCUGCUCUGUUUAUAGAGUUUGAAGUCAGAUUCAGUUUCAUAUUACAAUCAGGUGAAACCAACUUCUUCUGUUUGUAAAUACGUGAAGCUGCGUCAUGCCGUAUUAAAGGUUCCAUGUGGACGCGGCUCAACUGGGACAAGAGUUUCUACAUCAGCAAGAGUGACUCCGAGACCGCCUUUUGACCUUUCGGUAUAUUUCUGCUUUGGUGUAGUUCUUUAAUAAAACAAUUUAAAACUAUACAUGUUAAUGAAAGCUCAAGUGUACGUCGCUAUCAGAGAAAUAUAGAUUAAUUUAGUUUCUUUGAAAAAUACAUGAUUACAACUAGGAAUGUUCGAUUCGCAUAAAACAUAUACCAAUCUGAAAAACUGAUUAUCAUAUGUAUAAUGUUAAUAAACUUUUUCACUAUCCGAAAAUCUAUUCUGAAUUGAACGAAAGAAGUAAAAAACAAACUGAAAUUGUUUCUUUUUUUAAGAUAUUGAUUAAAACUAAAAUCCAAACUUAGUAGUACCAUACCGUUAUACUAUAUCGAUUUAAUGUUUUCAGUGACCACUUCUAGAGGUUUUUAUUUAUAUGUAACUAAUUAAACAUAUCCAAAUUUGUGAAUAUGCAAAAGUUUAAAGAUAUUGGACGAUGAUAAAAUCGAACAGAAUAUUACAAAAAAAAAUAGGCAUAUCACAUGUAAGUGGAACAAAGAAUAGUAUAUUAAUGGUAACGAAACCAACCCCAAAGAGCACACCAACACAGCACAAUAUAGCACAUACAUCUGAGAGAUGUCGUGGCACUAUCUUAUCAACCCUUUCCGUUUUAUAUUAUAUUAAAUUAAAUCUUUUUUUCACUCUGGCUGCUUAAUCUUUUCUUAGACAAUGUAAGCCAUACUUUCAUUUUGCUUCUUUAUAUAGCCUCACAUGGCUGUUAAUUCAAGAAAAUAUUCUAGACGAUACUUUUAAGAUUAAUUCUAAAAAUUGAAAUCAAAAUUAAUAUUUUCUGCACUACUGGUGGCAGUGAAUAAAUUUCAUCCCGCACUCCACCACUUGUUUUGGCGGAUAUGCUUAUAUUGAAAGAUCAGUAUUCUUUACACAUUUUGUAACUUUCCUUUUUCUUUCUCUUUUGAUCGAAAUUCGUGAUGUCUUCGACUUACAAAAUUUUAACUAAAAAUACAAACAAAAACUAAAAUGUAUUCUUCGAGUUUUUGACGUGAGUCUAAACAUAUAUACUUACAUUGUUGUUGGAUAAAUCAUACUCUCUACUCUACCGGUUGAGUGGUGGACUUUAUUUUAUUUUAUUUUUUAAUCGAGUCAGAGAAGGCUUUCACGCAUGGUUUUAUGCAGCUGGAUGUUACUAGGAUUAAUACCACUCGUUGAAAAGCGUUUCCGUAUUACAGAGAAAAAAAUAUAUGAAUCAUCGGUUUUUGAUAAAUAGUACAAGUUUUGUUUUCUUUUUAGUCUAAAGUUUUGUUUUCUUAUCAUUUUGUUUUCGCUUUUAUUCGAUUAUGUCUUAGGUUAUGACUCUUAAUUUAUAGUCUUUUCCUUCUUAUAGCUGGAGAAUUUCGAAUUGACACAAACUAUAAUUAAAUACCAUAGAAUGACUCAAACCAUAAAAUCUCUCAAUAUCAAAUGAAAAUGGUCUUUCAACUAGUAGACUAUCAUAAACUGGUUAUUUAUGUUUAGAUAUAGUUCUAAUUUUUGGUUUUGUGAUGUAGAUAUAGUUGUACGGGUCUGACUGAUAAAUUUGAGAUAUUUUUUGUUGGUUGAUGUUUUCUUAUCAACAGAUCUUCAUCGAAUAAAAUUUCGUAUAAAUACAAAAGAUAGAAUAUGUUGAUGUUUUCUUAUAAAUAGUUAUCUAUAACGAAUCAAGUAUCAAAUCAAUGAUGAUGCUUCCGCUACUUCAAAAAUUCAGCUAAGCUGAUUCGAUGACAACUCAGCUUGCCAAAUUUGUCCAACAUGGUGGGAGAGAACAACAUAUUCACUCCACCUUCUUACGUUUUAUGUGUAAGUUCAUUGAUUCAAUAUCUUAAAAAGGUUCAUGAUAUGUAUUCACGCAUGAUAUUUGAUAUAUCCCAAUUAUAGAAAGUUUUAACUUGCACAUAAGGUAUUAGGAACGUAUUUAGAUUUGAAAGUCAUUAACAACCAUCAUGUUCAUGACAAAUCGCAUAUCUGGAACAGGUUAAGGUACAAAAUAAAACAAAAAGUCACUGAAGAUGGGGAAUAUAUUUCGUCACGGACGGUUCACCGCAUAACAUGUUAUGCAUACGAUAUACACGAUUAGUUAGGCUGUCGGGAAUUAAACUUUGUGGAAUUCGUCAGCUAUAAGCAGUAUAUAUUCCCUUAUUAUUACUAUUUUUUUUGUAACUGGCAUUAUUACUAUCAUUGUUCUAUGUAGAGAUAGAGGUUCCAGGUGGGGAGAAUCACAAAAACUGCCAAAUAUCAUCAACCACGAUGUUGGCCAAAAGUUGUUUUGUUAUCAUUCUUCCACAUAUAAUCCGAUUCGGACGCAUUAUGCUUUUUCCAUUUGUUAUAUGUGUUAUGUGGACAUGUAUUCACAUUUUUAAUUAUAUUUCCAGCUUGAUUGAAGUUAUAUUUAAUUUGGUGGGUUCAAUAAUUCGUUGUAAUCUACAUGGAUCCACUUGUGUUUUGCAAUAGAAUCUCAUUAUCCCCAUUUGUUGGCUAUAUAUAAUAUUCGCUUGGCCUCCUUUUUUGAUGACUCCUUAUAAAUGUAACAUCUCAAUUUCAGUUUUUGAUGUAUAAUGAAAGGUUAAUAAAAUAUAUUCUGCUACUUAUGUCAUUAAACUUUACAUAUCUUAAUUUUUGAAUACACAUCUAAAAAAAACUACAAAUUUAAAUGCGUUUAAAAUGGAAAAGUAAAAAGCAAGAUAACAUAUCAGAAAGUAAUUUUCAAUACCGUAUGGUUAAGAUUAAAGCACAAAACAUUAUAUGGUAAUUAUAGAGUUAGUAAGCAAAAUUUGCAAGUCUACAGUACUCAACAUAUACGAAACCAUCAAAAUAUAUAUUGACGACAUGGUAAUUUUGGAUACUAAAGCAUGUGGACAACUUGAUAUUGUUUUUUUAGUGUACGUAACCGGAUAAGGAUUAAGCAUGCUAUUUUUUUUGUAGGAAACAUAUCUCAAGUCUAUGGAAUAUCCAAUGGUAUUUUGAAUCCCGUGAGAAGUACUCAGUUUCCUUGGUAAAACAAACCAACCCGUUAUAUUUUAAUUUUAUAACAAUUUGAGUUGAUGUUUUCAUCAUCAUCACGACCACCAAAAUGAUUAUGUAUGUGGAUAACAUCUAAAGAAUGUUUUUUAUUCUAUUAUCCUCACUAUUAGACUUGCAUUACUAAGUGGAAUCCCUAGAAUUCAUCCUAACCCAAAAGUCAGAUUUUAACUUUUAAAUUCACAUGGAAAAUAAUACGAAACCCUAAAAACUGACCUAUAAAACCAACUCAUACUCUCCCACAUUUCUCCAUCAGCUCUUUAAUUUCUUACAUCAUAUUUCCUAUUUCUCACUUUAUACCAAAGUGCGUAGAGAUAUGGCUCUAAACACAUGGAAGCCAUUCCUAACUGUUGUUUCUCUACAAUUCGGAUACGCUGGACUAUCGAUCAUAGCGAAGUUCGCUCUGGACCGAGGCAUGAGCCCUCACGUUCUAGCUGCAUAUCGCCAUAUCGUCGCAACUGUUUUCAUUGCUCCAUUUGCCUUUUUCUUGGAUAGGUAUAUAGUAUUUUCAUUUACCAUACUUAAAAAUUGUAUUAUGGUCAUGCAUGUGCAUGUAUACGUUUACGUAUAGUAUACGUAAGUACGUAUUUGUAUCAUGUCUACGUAUUCUUUACAAAAAAAUAUAGCUACAAAAAUACGCUUUCUGAUUAUCUUAGUUUAAUGUGAUUUUGAAAUGAACAGAAAAAUACGGCCAAAGAUGACGCUGCCCAUCUUCUUCAAGAUAUUGUUGCUCGGAUUAUUGGAGUAAGAAUAAUUGAAUUAUAUUUCGUUCAUCUUUUUUUUUAACUUUUAAACAUUUAUAUAUUGAUUUCUUAUGUUUUAAGUCAAUUGAAUUUGCUUUAUGUGUUUAUAGACCAACAAUUGAUCAGAACUUAUACUACACCGGUAUGAAGUACACUUCCGCGACUUUCACAGCUGCAAUGACCAACGUUCUUCCAGCCUUUGCCUUUCUUAUGGCAUGGAUCUUCAGGUCAGUAAACACAGUUUUGUUUCGUUUGAUGUGGUUUGUGUUUCUCUCCAGUUUAAAGUUUGUUGGUCUAAAGGAUCAAUAUAUUUUAACGUGUAGACUUGAGAAGGUUAACAUCAGGAAAAUACACAGCCAAGCCAAGAUUCUAGGGACAGUUGUGACAGUUGGUGGAGCAAUGCUUAUGACUGUUGUGAAAGGACCUUUGAUUCCUUUGCCUUGGGCUCAUCCUAGCGACAACCAUCAAGACUCAUCAAAUCUUGGUGUCAAACAAGAUCUUACCAAAGGCGCACUUCUCAUUGCUACCGGUUGCAUCUGUUGGGCCGGUUUUGUCAAUCUCCAGG
Molecule: long non-coding RNA, 5769 nt
Filed under: Brassica napus (rape)
Lineage: Eukaryota; Viridiplantae; Streptophyta; Magnoliopsida; Brassicales; Brassicaceae
Description: long non-coding RNA (BNAP_LNC003956)
Source: RNAcentral